AAAAUGACUCUCGGCAACGGAUAUCUAGGCUCUCGCAUCGAUGAAGAACGUAGCAAACUGCGAUACUUGGUGUGAAUUGCAGAAUCCCGUGAACCAUCGAGUUUUUGAACGCAAGUUGCGCCCAAAGUCGCUAGGCUGAGGGCACGUCUGCCUGGGCGUCACG
RNAcentral lists this ribosomal RNA (163 nucleotides) under Pachypodium baronii. RNAcentral describes it as "5.8S ribosomal RNA". It matches the Rfam family "5.8S ribosomal RNA". Rfam says of the family: 5.8S ribosomal RNA (5.8S rRNA) is a component of the large subunit of the eukaryotic ribosome. It is transcribed by RNA polymerase I as part of the 45S precursor that also contains 18S and 28S rRNA. RNAcentral also lists the same sequence under 3 other names. Lineage: Eukaryota; Viridiplantae; Streptophyta; Magnoliopsida; Gentianales; Apocynaceae. The record is from RNAcentral.